UGAUAAUUAGUUUAAUCCAAAACAAAUGAUUUCGACUCAUUAGACUACGACUAAUCUCGUAAUUAUCAA
This 69-nucleotide transfer RNA is filed under the name Arctocephalus forsteri (New Zealand fur seal). Its description in RNAcentral is "tRNA-Arg". It matches the Rfam family "tRNA". Rfam says of the family: Transfer RNA (tRNA) molecules are approximately 80 nucleotides in length. Their secondary structure includes four short double-helical elements and three loops (D, anti-codon, and T loops). The record is from RNAcentral. Lineage: Eukaryota; Metazoa; Chordata; Mammalia; Carnivora; Otariidae.